Molecule: ribosomal RNA, 329 nt
Filed under: uncultured Pseudomonadota bacterium
Lineage: Bacteria; Pseudomonadati; Pseudomonadota
Description: bacterial SSU rRNA
Rfam family: Bacterial small subunit ribosomal RNA
Source: RNAcentral
GAUGAACGCUGGCGGCGUGCUUAACACAUGCAAGUCGAACGGCAGCAUGGUCUAGCUUGCUAGACUGAUGGCGAGUGGCGAACGGGUGAGUAACGCGUAGGAAUAUACCUUGAAGAGUGGGACAACUUGGGGAAACUCAAGCUAAUACCGCAUAAUAUCUACGGAUGAAAGCUGGGGACUCGUAAGAGCCUGGCGCUUUAAGAUUAGCCUGCGUCCGAUUAGCUAGUUGGUGGGGUAAGGGCCUACCAAGGCGACGAUCGGUAGCUGGUCUGAGAGGAUGGCCAGCCACACUGGAACUGAGACACGGUCCAGACUCCUACGGGUGGCUG